Molecule: transfer RNA, 71 nt
Filed under: Phrynosoma platyrhinos (Desert horned lizard)
Lineage: Eukaryota; Metazoa; Chordata; Lepidosauria; Squamata; Phrynosomatidae
Description: tRNA-OTHER
Source: RNAcentral
GCUGGUGUGGCAUAGUGGUUUGAGUGUUGGACCACAACUCUGGAGACCAGGGUUUGAGUCCUGCUUGGGCA